AGUAAAAUGGCUGAAAAUAAGCGAUAAAUUGUAAAUUUAUUUAUAAAUAUAAAAAUUUUUUUACUA
Molecule: transfer RNA, 66 nt
Filed under: Hydropsyche angustipennis
Lineage: Eukaryota; Metazoa; Arthropoda; Insecta; Trichoptera; Hydropsychidae
Description: tRNA-Tyr
Source: RNAcentral